Molecule: ribosomal RNA, 461 nt
Filed under: uncultured bacterium
Lineage: Bacteria
Description: bacterial SSU rRNA
Rfam family: Bacterial small subunit ribosomal RNA
Source: RNAcentral
CUAUGGGAGGCAGCAGUGGGGAAUAUUGGACAAUGGGCGGAAGCCUGAUCCAGCAACGCCGCGUGAGGGAUGACGGCCUUCGGGUUGUAAACCUCUUUCACCAUUGACGAAGCCGUAUGCAGUUUUGUGUGUGGUGACGGUAGGUGGGGAAGAAGCACCGGCCAACUACGUGCCAGCAGCCGCGGUAAUACGUAGGGUGCGAGCGUUGUCCGGAAUUAUUGGGCGUAAAGGGCUCGUAGGCGGUUUGUCGCGUCGGGAGUGAAAGCCCUGGGCUUAACCCAGGGUCUGCUUUCGAUACGGGCAGACUAGAGGUAUGCAGGGGAGAACGGAAUUCCUGGUGUAGCGGUGAAAUGCGCAGAUAUCAGGGGGAACACCGGUGGCGAAGGCGGUUCUCUGGGCAUGAUCUGACGCUGAGGAGCGAAAGUGUGGGGAGCGAACAGGAUUAGAAACCCGUGUAGUCC